GAGGGUAUAGCUCAGUGGUAGAGUGCAUGCAUAGCAUGCACUCAAGGUCCUGGGUUCAAUCCCCAGUACAAUCA
Molecule: transfer RNA, 74 nt
Filed under: Camelus ferus (Wild Bactrian camel)
Lineage: Eukaryota; Metazoa; Chordata; Mammalia; Artiodactyla; Camelidae
Rfam family: tRNA
About the family: Transfer RNA (tRNA) molecules are approximately 80 nucleotides in length. Their secondary structure includes four short double-helical elements and three loops (D, anti-codon, and T loops). Further hydrogen bonds mediate the characteristic L-shaped molecular structure. tRNAs have two regions of fundamental functional importance: the anti-codon, which is responsible for specific mRNA codon recognition, and the 3' end, to which the tRNAs corresponding amino acid is attached (by aminoacyl-tRNA synthetases). tRNAs cope with the degeneracy of the genetic code in two manners: having more than one tRNA (with a specific anti-codon) for a particular amino acid; and 'wobble' base-pairing, i.e. permitting non-standard base-pairing at the 3rd anti-codon position.
Source: Rfam by way of RNAcentral